UCCCUGGUGGUCCAGUGGUUAAAACUCUGCUCUUCUAAUGCAGGGAGCCUGGGUUUGAUCCCCAGUCAGGGAA
Non-coding RNA from Mesoplodon densirostris (Blainville's beaked whale), 73 nucleotides. The record is from the annotation of a RefSeq genome assembly. NCBI's taxonomy places the organism in Eukaryota, Metazoa, Chordata, Mammalia, Artiodactyla, Ziphiidae.